This is a long non-coding RNA of Belonocnema kinseyi, 1010 nucleotides long. RefSeq lists it as uncharacterized. The record is from RefSeq and is a predicted model, not a curated record. The transcript has 3 exons. NCBI's taxonomy places the organism in Eukaryota, Metazoa, Arthropoda, Insecta, Hymenoptera, Cynipidae.
ACGUCAUUCGCGUUCAUGCAUGUGUGUUUACAUAUUCUCAGUUUUCUAACUGUCAAAUGUCAAGAAUUAAUUUACGAGUUUUCAAGUGCUUAGGGUUUCCCGUGAGUAAUUCAAAAGGACCAUUCAUGCUCUAAUUUCCAAUAAGUCAUUUGGGAUGUUUACUUAACUCCAAUUUUAUGACUUUUUGAGCCAAAAGUAACACUACACAGCCAGAAAAACAAUUUUAAACACCCGGACAUCCUGACUCCUGGAUAACCUAAACGCAAAUCCAGCAUCUUCCAACAGGAAAAUUAAAAAACGGCUCAGAACCACACCCUUCACAAGGACGAGGAGCAAAAAGUUUGAAAUUCCGGUGAAAUGGAGUCCUCAUUCCCCAUUGAUGACGAAUUAGCAGUAAUCCUUAUUGCGCACAGUUAAAACACCGGUUCUGUCGUGGGGGAAAAGAAACCAACUUUUCGGAAUGUUAAUUGCAGAAUCACCAGGACAGGGAUAUUUGGCAGUAUUUAAAAUUUAUUUUGCAAUUUCGUGAUCAGAUAAGUAUUCAAUAAUGUAUAUAUUAUAUUGUAUAAAAAUUAUUAAUUUUUAAUUACUUUUCUUUGUUUUUAAAUUGUUUCUAAAAUGUUUAUUUAUGUUAAUUGUGUCUGGAGAUAGUGGCAAACCGAGGAAUUAAGCUAUAGCAGUUAUAUCUUUUUAUUAAUAAUCCUAGGUGUGUACUGAUUUUAUUAUUAUUGCAUUCAAAAUGGUAAGCAACUAAUUAUAUGUAUAAUAACUUAUAAUAAAUAUAACCAAUUAUAUAUACAAUUCACAUUCCACUUUUUUUAAUUCUAUAUUCACCCUCUUGUUUUUGUUUUUCUUUUUUUGUUACGAAGGUGAAGAGUUUUCAUUUCGUAUUGAAGCUUAAGGCCAUGCGACGAGAGGGUGACGUGACCAAACCUGGUCUUCGAUUUUUCUUUUUCAACUUACGUCUAAACGAAAUGAGGUAUCGCUUUGAAAGUUUGGGAAAAUAAAAG